UGUAAAAAAUUAAUGGUUUCUCUCUCUUACUUUACUCUUUUCUCUCCAAGCCACACAAGCCCUCUCAAAUUCUUUCCUUCUCCUCAAUCUCAUCUCACUUUCUUCCCUCUCUUCUCCAAAGAGCCACCGCCGCCACCACCACCACUAGAAGAAAUCUCUCGUGUCCAACCCAUGCCUAGUCGUCAUAUAACCCACCACCGUCGUCCCUCGUGCCCAGCCCGUACCUUGUCAUCGUCGAACAGUCCGUCGACCUCCGUUGUGCUUGCCACCACCGUCAAAACAUAAAUGCCCAAAAAUCCAGCACUUUUAGGGUUAAAUGAGAGACGUGGAAUUCGUGUGAAGUUAAAGGCUUUGAAGGCCAAAUAGGGAUGGGGAUUUCUUCCAUUCAAUCAAGUUUUUGAUACAAUGUUACACGAGUUUUUCCAUAAUCUUCAUGGUCCUCACAAUGCCAAUCUCUACGAGCUUUAAGAUGAGCUUUCAAAGAGCUUUCCAGGAAAUUCUUCCUUCAGGCCUCACUUCAGUUUCAAAACUACCUCCUAUCUUCGAUGGAAUAACAAGUGCUGGAAAUGUAGAUUCAAUUGUUGGCUAAUCUUAAUCUAAAAGAAACUCCUCAACUUGUGGAACUGGUGGAUGAC
Long non-coding RNA from Cucumis melo (muskmelon), 635 nucleotides. RefSeq lists it as uncharacterized. The transcript is spliced from 4 exons. NCBI's taxonomy places the organism in Eukaryota, Viridiplantae, Streptophyta, Magnoliopsida, Cucurbitales, Cucurbitaceae. The record is from RefSeq and is a predicted model, not a curated record.